This 95-nucleotide ribosomal RNA is filed under the name uncultured bacterium. Its description in RNAcentral is "partial 16S ribosomal RNA". It matches the Rfam family "Bacterial small subunit ribosomal RNA", at positions 1388 to 1482 of the family's 1533-position model. The record is from RNAcentral.
CACCGCCCGUCACAUCAUGAAAGCCGGUCGUACCCGAAGUCAAUGUGCUAACCGCAAGGGGGCAGUUGCCGAAGGUAUGGCUGGUGAUUGGGAUG